Long non-coding RNA from Canis lupus familiaris (dog), 1129 nucleotides. RefSeq lists it as uncharacterized. The transcript has 4 exons. The record is from RefSeq and is a predicted model, not a curated record. Lineage: Eukaryota; Metazoa; Chordata; Mammalia; Carnivora; Canidae.
UUUCUGCUGUCCUUUAAUUUGUGUGUGUGUGUAUCAAAUAUUUCAGACAUUUAAGAAUAGACAGGAUAUCUAGAGACAUCUGGCUAAAGCAGUGGGAUGAGGUCAGCCAAUUCCUCCCUGCAAAAAAAAAAAAGAAAAAAAGAAAGAAAAAGAAACUAAAAUGGUCAAAACCAACCAUUCUGGGGCCCUGGUAACUGACCAGAGGAAGGCGAGCAACUGAAAAUUGUUGAUUUUGAAGAUUGUCUAGAACCUCAGCCUCUCACCAGGUCUCUGCGGACAGGCUGUGUAGACGGAGCGGGAGAAGCUGCUGGCACCCAAGUCAGCAGCAGCCCCCACAGUGCUGGAGAAAGAGAAGCGGAUCCGGGCCAAUGUAUGCAGCACGGCACUGGGGCGCAGUCAUGGUGGAUGUUUUACUGAGAGCUCUCAUCAGGUCAAAGAAGUCAUGGUCAGCAGAUGGGGAAACCGAGAUGCAAGUUAAGUGAUUCACCCGAGGUCACCCUAGCAGAUAGAAUGAAAGAAGUGGUGGAAGGGCUGAGAGAGAGGAAAGCGAGAAUCCCAAAGAGACUCCAUGCCCAGCAUGAAGCUUGAUGUGGGGCUGGAUCUCACAACCCUGAGAUCAUGACCUGCACCGACGUCAAGAUUGUCGCCGGUGAAGAACAGUGAAGAGCAAAUUUUCCUUUCAGUUCUUUUUCCCAGCUGCCUCCCCCAUUUCCUUCCUAGGACACAACACUAAGCUUCUCAUGUAUCCUGCAAGAGAUGCCUUUUCUUUACAUACAGAAGUAAGAACUUGUGUACAUAUUUUUUUUUUCUCAAAUGGUGUCAUGCUCCACACAGUUCUACAACUUGCUUUUACACUUAAUAUACUAUAUUGAGUUAUGUGAAAUUACUGAUAUCCUACCAUUUUUGACUCUGCCGGAAAUCUUUCAAUAUCAAGCACACAAGGAAGUGGUUCCGUCCUUUAAAAAAAAUAAUGAAGUGUGACAUACGUAAGCCUUCACAAAUCCUGAGUGUCCACUCCGCUGUGUAACCAGUCCCCAGAGUAAUAACUCAAAUGUUAUCAGCAUCCAGAAGUGCCCACAGUCACGACGGCGUUCAGAAUUGUAUAUAAAAGCAGUCAUCCAGUACGUUC